UUUAUGGAGAGUUUGAUCCUGGCUCAGGAUGAACGCUGGCGGCGUGCCUAAUACAUGCAAGUCGAGCGAACAGAUAAGGAGCUUGCUCCUUUGACGUUAGCGGCGGACGGGUGAGUAACACGUGGAUAACCUACCUAUAAGACUGGGAUAACUUCGGGAAACCGGAGCUAAUACCGGAUAACAUAUUGAACCGCAUGGUUCAAUAGUGAAAGGCGGCUUUGCUGUCACUUAUAGAUGGAUCCGCGCCGUAUUAGCUAGUUGGUAAGGUAACGGCUUACCAAGGCAACGAUACGUAGCCGACCUGAGAGGGUGAUCGGCCACACUGGAACUGAGACACGG
RNAcentral lists this ribosomal RNA (339 nucleotides) under Listeria monocytogenes. RNAcentral's name for it is "bacterial SSU rRNA". It matches the Rfam family "Bacterial small subunit ribosomal RNA", at positions 1 to 329 of the family's 1533-position model. The record is from RNAcentral. Lineage: Bacteria; Bacillati; Bacillota; Bacilli; Caryophanales; Listeriaceae.